Molecule: ribosomal RNA, 320 nt
Filed under: uncultured Glissomonadida
Lineage: Eukaryota; Cercozoa; Glissomonadida
Description: bacterial SSU rRNA
Rfam family: Eukaryotic small subunit ribosomal RNA
Source: RNAcentral
GAUUUCUGGUUGGAUACACCUAGCCCGCCACGGUUUCGUGUGUGAGUGCUGGUUUGUGUAUCUACCAUCCUUCUAGUACUAGAUCCUUAAGCAAUUAAGAAUCUAGAGCUAGAUCUUUUACUUUGAACAAAUUUGAUCGUUUCAAGAAGGCAUUUUGCUAUGAAAACAUUAGCAUGGAAUAAUAACUUAGGACUUCGGUUCUAUUUUGUUGGUUUCUAGAACUGCAGUAAUGAUUGAUAGGGAUAGUUGGGGGUGCUAGUAUUCAGUGGCCAGAGGUGAAAUUCUCGGAUUCACUGAAGACUAACUUAUGCGAAAGCAUU